GGGACUCUUUCUGGCCACAAUAGGGAUGGAAAAGUUGUUUCAAGGGGACUAACACCUGGACUGUGGUAUGCCGGAGGGGGAUCCAUGGCAAAACUCCCAUGGAAAAUUACAGUUGAUGCAGAGUCUGGUUUUAAUCCAUAAAGGGCAGAAAUCACCUAACAUUCCUAAAUCACAAUGAAUAUGGAUUGACACCUGACAUAUGACAUAUUGACACCUUGAC
RNAcentral lists this long non-coding RNA (220 nucleotides) under Pelobates cultripes (western spadefoot toad). The record is from RNAcentral. Lineage: Eukaryota; Metazoa; Chordata; Amphibia; Anura; Pelobatidae.